AGUUCCAAUCCCCAUGGUCAUAAGUCAAGAAGUAUCUGCAGGGGGAUUAAUCAGGAUAGGUAGAGACCCAAACCAACUUCAUUCUGUCAGCUGGUACAGGAAAUCAUUGUUUAUGUGCUGUGGAUAAGACAGAAGUCAGAAUACAAGGUUGUAUAGAGCCAGAAAACCAGACAAGAGACAAGGGCAGCUCUGGACGAAAAUCUAAAAAUGAACAUUGUCUUCUCUACAAUCCUUUAAUUUUCAGAUUUACCUGCAUUGCCAAGUUCUCGUCUGGGAACCAGCAAUUGUGACUAAUCCCACAAGGAAAGCCUGCUCAUUUAACAGGGGUACAAACAGAUGGGAAGUUCUGGAUGGGACAGCCGAUGAGGUUUGCAGGUGCUGUGACUUGGUGUGUGAAACUGCUGGUUCUCGUCACAAGAGAGAAGUAAAAGAUCUGGCUUCAGAAGUCGAUCCCUUGCAAUCCAACUGGUUGGUGGUUGGCCGCUUGACGAUUCGGCAAUCUGCACCCAGCGGGGGUGACUCUGAGCGGGGUUCCAAUCACAUCCCCCCUCAUUGAGACCCGUCAAAGCAAGGUAAGUCAAGAGCUAUCAAUUUAGCAGUCAGUUCUUUCUGCUAAUAGGGCAGAAUAAAGGAGCUAUUUCUGCAUUUUAACUGUCUCUAUUCUGUUCUUGGGGUGUCCGUAGGGUAUGAUUAAAAAUAAAUAAAUCAGAUUGCUAGCCAAAAUAAGUAAAGUCAAAAAUCUGCCUGCGUUACUAACAGGUAAUCAGAGUUGGAAGAGAUUUUGUAGGUCAUCUAGUCCAACCCCCCGCCCAAACGGGAGACCCUACACCAUUUCUGACAAAUGGCAGUCCAAUCUCUUCUUGCAAGUCUCAAGUGACGAAGCUCCCACAACUUCCAAAGGC
RNAcentral lists this long non-coding RNA (902 nucleotides) under Naja naja (Indian cobra). RNAcentral describes it as "lncRNA (ENSNNAG00000016847.1)". Lineage: Eukaryota; Metazoa; Chordata; Lepidosauria; Squamata; Elapidae. The record is from RNAcentral.